UCACAUUAUGAGUUUAAAUGCCCUCCACAACUUAUAUUACUGUCUUUACACCCUCAACAGGUUCCCCACUUUGUUUGUGAGUUCCUGGUCUCACCUUUUCACUAAUCAUGCAGUACAACUGCUAGCCAUUUUAAACAAGGGCAACUCUUGCCUCACCAAACUAUGCUAGAUCAAGCCAUUCAACCAUACUGUCCAUUAUUUUCGGUCUCUACCACUGCCAUCGCCAGUUUGCCACCCCUAAAGUACAGCUCCUACACCGCCAUUUAUUCUCUGGCAUGCUUCAGGUAUCCUUGACUCCUGAAAUUCACAUUUCGGACUUGCGCAUCAGAAAGAUUCACAUGAUCUAAACCUCUGAAACCCUGCUUCCACAAUAAGACAAUUCACCACAUAC
This 391-nucleotide long non-coding RNA is filed under the name Triticum aestivum (bread wheat). Its description in RNAcentral is "long non-coding RNA (TAES_LNC027725)". The record is from RNAcentral. Lineage: Eukaryota; Viridiplantae; Streptophyta; Magnoliopsida; Poales; Poaceae.